Molecule: ribosomal RNA, 371 nt
Filed under: uncultured bacterium
Lineage: Bacteria
Description: bacterial SSU rRNA
Rfam family: Bacterial small subunit ribosomal RNA
Source: RNAcentral
GUAGGAGUCAAGCGUUAUCCGAAUUUACUGGGCGUAAAGCGCGUGUAGGCGGUUCGAUAAGUUGGAUGUGAAAGCUCCUGGCUCAACUGGGAGAGGUCGUUCAAUACUGUCGGACUAGAGGAUGGUAGAGGGAGGUGGAAUUCCCGGUGUAGUGGUGAAAUGCGUAGAUAUCGGGAGGAACACCAGUGGCGAAAGCGGCCUCCUGGACCAUUCCUGACGCUCAGACGCGAAAGCUAGGGGAGCAAACGGGAUUAGAAACCCCGGUAGUCCUAGCCGUAAACGAUGUAGACUUGGCGUCGGCGGGGUAAAAGCCAUCGGUGCCGAAGCUAACGCGAUAAGUCUACCGCCUGGGGACUACGGCCGCAAGGUUA